This 226-nucleotide ribosomal RNA is filed under the name uncultured bacterium. RNAcentral describes it as "partial 16S ribosomal RNA". It matches the Rfam family "Bacterial small subunit ribosomal RNA", at positions 538 to 762 of the family's 1533-position model. The record is from RNAcentral.
GCGUUGUCCGGAAUCAUUGGGCGUAAAGAGCUCGUAGGCGGUUUGGUAAGUCGGAUGUGAAACCUCCAGGCUCAACCUGGAGCCGCCAUCCGAUACUGCCAUGACUAGAGUCCGGUAGGGGCCCACGGAACUCCUGGUGUAGCGGUGAAAUGCGCAGAUAUCAGGAAGAACACCGAUGGCGAAGGCAGUGGGCUGGGCCGGCACUGACGCUGAGGAGCGAAAGCGU